GGGGGACCGCAGCCCAACCGACACCGCGUGGGGCCAGAGAACCGCUCCGCAGAGCCCGGGCGGCUCACAGAACUUUGAGGGACAAAUGGGCGUGGCAGUUUUAAGCCACUAAGUUUUGGCGUGGCGUGUGACACCGCAGCAGGGAACCGAAACCUAAAGGUUGCUAACAGGUUCCUCACUGCGCCUGGUGCCUGAGAGACGCUCCGUACUUGUUGAAUCAAUGAGAAUUUUUGAGCAAAUAUAUAGGGUAGAAAGAAAUCACGGCCAGGUCUACAUUACUGAGGAGGGGCAAAUGUUGUUUCCAGAAGCUCAUUUCCUACCCUCCCUCCCAUACCUGCAGACUCCAUUCUAGGGGCGACAAGAAUCUUCCGAGGGCCUUGCCAGGACCUGCUGUGGCCCUGGUCCGAUGGAGCAGUGGUUCUCAAAUGUCAUCUCUGAACCAGCUACAUUGGAGUACCUGUGGAUUUCUUUUAAACUACAGAUUGAUGAGCAUCCUUGAACUGAGGUG
Panthera uncia (snow leopard) is the source of this 508-nucleotide long non-coding RNA. RefSeq lists it as uncharacterized. The transcript is spliced from 3 exons. The record is from RefSeq and is a predicted model, not a curated record. Lineage: Eukaryota; Metazoa; Chordata; Mammalia; Carnivora; Felidae.